UACGAAGGGGGCUAGCGUUGCUCGGAAUCACUGGGCGUAAAGCGCACGUAGGCGGCUUUCUAAGUCAGGGGUGAAAUCCUGGAGCUCAACUCCAGAACUGCCUUUGAUACUGGAGAGCUUGAGUCCGGAUGAGGUGAGUGGAACUCCGAGUGUAGAGGUGAAAUUCGUAGAUAUUCGGAAGAACACCAGUGGCGAAGGCGGCUCACUGGUCCGGUACUGACGCUGAGGUGCGAAAGCGUGGGGAGCAAACAGG
Molecule: ribosomal RNA, 253 nt
Filed under: uncultured bacterium
Lineage: Bacteria
Description: partial 16S ribosomal RNA
Rfam family: Bacterial small subunit ribosomal RNA
Source: RNAcentral